This 276-nucleotide ribosomal RNA is filed under the name uncultured prokaryote. Its description in RNAcentral is "partial 16S ribosomal RNA". It matches the Rfam family "Bacterial small subunit ribosomal RNA", at positions 524 to 800 of the family's 1533-position model. The record is from RNAcentral.
UACGUAGGUGGCAAGCGUUGUCCGGAAUUACUGGGCGUAAAGGGUGCGUAGGUGGUUUCUUAAGUCAGAGGUGAAAGGCUACGGCUCAACCGUAGUAAGCCUUUGAAACUGGGAAACUUGAGUGCAGGAGAGGAGAGUGGAAUUCCUAGUGUAGCGGUGAAAUGCGUAGAUAUUAGGAGGAACACCAGUUGCGAAGGCGGCUCUCUGGACUGUAACUGACACUGAGGCACGAAAGCGUGGGGAGCAAACAGGAUUAGAUACCCGCGUAGUCCCUGA